GAUGAAGAACGUAGCGAAAUGCGAUAAGUAAUGUGAAUUGCAGAAUUCAGUGAAUCAUCGAAUCUUUGAACGCACAUUGCGCCCCCUGGUAUUCCGGGGGGCAUGCCUGUUCGAGCGUCAUUUCACCACUCAAGCCUCGCUUGGUAUUGGGCGACGCGGUCCGCCGCGCGCCUCAAAUCGACCGGCUGGGUCUUUCGUCCCCUCAGCGUUGUGGAAACUAUUCGCUAAAGGGUGCCGCGGGAGGCCACGCCGUAAAACAACCCCAUUUCUAAGGUUGACCUCGGAUCAGGUAGGGAUACCCGCUGAACUUAAGCAUAUCAUAAGCGGAGGA
RNAcentral lists this unclassified non-coding RNA (331 nucleotides) under soil metagenome. Its description in RNAcentral is "partial contains 5.8S ribosomal RNA, internal transcribed spacer 2, and large subunit ribosomal RNA". The stretch from base 1 to 120 matches the Rfam family "5.8S ribosomal RNA", at positions 35 to 154 of the family's 154-position model. The record is from RNAcentral.